UUCCUGCCUCCCCCCACCGAAUACCAAUUCAGCAUUAAAAGUUUUCAUCUUUACCCUUCUCAUUUCUUUUUCAUCUGGGCAUUUUCUUCUUUUUUUUAUUCACCUCUGAUUCCCAUCUCCUUCCAACAGUCCUCUUAGCCUCCACAAGUUCAUCCUCAAGCUCAACAGUUUCAAUUUCCUCUUAGUUUUCUCGAGAAAAUCCGACUUCGGUGUGAGAGGAAAGGGCUAUCGAUCCAACACCCAGAUGUUAAAUCGAUGCUGAAUCGAGUGAAGCUGUUCGCUGACAAGGUAAGACUUUGACCUUCUUCAAUCGAAAUUAAGACCCCCAUUUUCGUUAACUAUCCCAGAUCCCCAAGAAUAUUGUUUUAAUCGAACCCUAUUAAGCACUUACAUACUAUUGUCAUUGAUAGGUAUAAGAUGUUUUUAAGAUUACUUGUUGGAAUUGUUAAUAAAUUGUAUAGAAAGCUUGUUGAUUCGGCAAAGGAACAAUUAAUUUGGGCUAAAGAAAUGGUUGAUGUUUCUUCUACAGGAAUUGAUAGUUUGUUAGUGUGUUUAAUGAGGCAAAUUGUUGGUGGUGAUUUUAGUGAUAGGAAUCUUUGGUUAUGUUUGGAAAAAGGUCCCAUUGCACUCUCUGCUUUCUGCCCAUGCUAUGCAAACACACGCAACUGCACUCUGUUUUGGACGGUACUCAUGACAUGGCAAAAAAAACACUAAAAUCUUUGCAAUUUUCAUAAUUUUUAAGGUUUCCAGAUCCUGUAUAUGGGGUUCUAAAGUUUGCUAAGAGAGCAUUAGGCCACAUACUAAUUUUGUUUCUUGACAUUGUUUAAUGUAAGAUCCUAUAUAUCAAGAUUGAUAUUUGUCCAGAAUAUUUAUCUGGACUCAUAUUGCAUAUGCAGACCAUCCCAUUUUGAUGUCAACUAAGCUAUAUUAACAGAUAAAACUGGUCUUCAUUUCUUGCAUGCCUUGAUCCUGUUUUUCAAUCAUUAAUUAUGAGCAAUGGAUUGUGUUUUAGAUGUUGUAUUGGGACAUUUUCUGGGGUUUUCAGAACUUUCAGAGCAAAAGUGUUUUCUAAAACUGGACCGGUGGUCAAGCUUUUGGUUCGCUAGUUUGAUUUGACCAAUUUGUUUAAUUUAACUAAAU
This 1140-nucleotide long non-coding RNA is filed under the name Gossypium barbadense (sea-island cotton). Its description in RNAcentral is "long non-coding RNA (GBAR_LNC006109)". Lineage: Eukaryota; Viridiplantae; Streptophyta; Magnoliopsida; Malvales; Malvaceae. The record is from RNAcentral.